UACAGAGGUCUCAAGCGUUGUUCGGAUUCAUUGGGCGUAAAGGGUGCGUAGGCGGCGCGGUAAGUCGGGUGUGAAAUCUUGGAGCUUAACUCCGAAACUGCAUUCGAUACUGCCGUGCUUGAGGACUGGAGAGGAGACUGGAAUUUACGGUGUAGCGGUGAAAUGCGUAGAGAUGUGGAGGAACACCAGUGGCGAAGGCGACUUUUUGGCCUGUAACUGACGCUGAGGCGCGAAAGCGUGGGGAGCAAACAGG
RNAcentral lists this ribosomal RNA (253 nucleotides) under uncultured bacterium. RNAcentral's name for it is "partial 16S ribosomal RNA". It matches the Rfam family "Bacterial small subunit ribosomal RNA", at positions 524 to 776 of the family's 1533-position model. The record is from RNAcentral.